This 445-nucleotide long non-coding RNA is filed under the name Malus domestica (apple). Its description in RNAcentral is "long non-coding RNA (MDOM_LNC004622)". Lineage: Eukaryota; Viridiplantae; Streptophyta; Magnoliopsida; Rosales; Rosaceae. The record is from RNAcentral.
AAGGCUAAUCACCCAAAGAGAGGGCCUUCAUUCCUUGCAUCUUAGAUCUAUGGAUUUGGAUGGAGGAAAUCGUUCUCCAAGUUCUCAAAAUUGAGAACCUCUAAGUCUCUUCACCAAGGUUAGAUUGGAGAAGAAAUGAGUGACCUUGGAGUAGUAGGAUUGCUAGCUAAACCCUCCAAGGAGGCCGGCCACUUUAGAGAGAAAAGAGAGCUUAUGUUCUCAUCCUUUCCCUAAAAGAAAACCCUAAAUGAAUUUUGGCUAUAAAGUCAUAUUUAUACCUUAAUUCAUUGGAGUGGCAAACUUGUAAAUAAGUUCAAAACUCACUCCAUCUCUAAAUGGCCGGUCUUAGGGUAUUAUUGGGCUAAUUAGGCAUUUGUGAAUCAUUAUUCAUUAAGUUGUCAUACAACUUAAUUCAAUGGGCUUGACGUUCGAAGCCCAUUGGGCC